AUACGGAGGAUGCAAGCGUUAUCCGGAUUUAUUGGGUUUAAAGGGUGCGCAGGCGGCUUGUUAAGCGGGAGGUGAAAUGCCGGCGCUCAACGUCGGAAGUGCCUCCCGAACUGGUGAGCUGGAAUGACUCUGCCGUGGGAGGAAUGUGUAGUGUAGCGGAGAAAUGCUUAGAGAUUACACAGAACACCGAUUGCGAAGGCAUCUCACGAAGGGUUGAUUGACGCUGAGGCACGAAAGCGUGGGGAUCAAACAGGAUUAGAUACCCUGGUAGUCCACGCAGUAAACGAUGAUGGCUAACCGCUGGGUCAGACGAUUCAGUGGCCAAGCGAAAGCGAUAAGCCAUCCACCUGGGGAGUACGACCGCAAGGUUGAAACUCAAAUGAAUUGACGGGG
Molecule: ribosomal RNA, 393 nt
Filed under: uncultured bacterium
Lineage: Bacteria
Description: partial 16S ribosomal RNA
Rfam family: Bacterial small subunit ribosomal RNA
Source: RNAcentral